UACGGAGGGUGCAAGCGUUAUCCGGAUUCACUGGGUUUAAAGGGUGCGUAGGUGGGUUGAUAAGUCAGUGGUGAAAUCCCCGAGCUUAACUUGGGAACUGCCAUUGAUACUAUUGAUCUUGAAUACCGUGGAGGUCAGCGGAAUAUGUCAUGUAGCGGUGAAAUGCUUAGAUAUGACAUAGAACGCCAAUUGCGAAGGCAGCUGGCUACGCGAAUAUUGACACUGAUGCACGAAAGCGUGGGGAUCAAACAGG
Molecule: ribosomal RNA, 253 nt
Filed under: uncultured bacterium
Lineage: Bacteria
Description: partial 16S ribosomal RNA
Rfam family: Bacterial small subunit ribosomal RNA
Source: RNAcentral